GUGAGAAUCUGCCCAUAGGAUAGGGACAACAGUUGGAAACGACUGCUAAUACCUGAUGUGCCGAGAGGUGAAACUUUUAUGGCCUGUGGAUGAGCUCGCGUCUGAUUAGCUAGUUGGUAGGGUAAAGGCUUACCAAGGCGACGAUCAGUAGCUGGUCUGAGAGGAUGAUCAGCCACACUGGAACUGAGACACGGUCCAGACUCCUACGGGAGGCAGCAGUGGGGAAUUUUCCGCAAUGGGCGAAAGCCUGACGGAGCAAGACCGCGUGGGGGAUGAAGGUUUGUGGAUUGUAAACCCCUUUUGAUUGGGAAGAAUACUGACGGUACCAAUCGAAUAAGCCUCGGCUAACUCCGUGCCAGCAGCCGCGGUAAUACGGAGGAGGCAAGCGUUAUCCGGAAUUAUUGGGCGUAAAGCGUCCGUAGGUGGUUUAGUAAGUCUGCUGUUAAAGCGCGGGGCUUAACUCCGUAUCGGCAGUGGAAACUACUAGACUAGAGUGUGGUAGGGGUAGAGGGAAUUCCCAGUGUAGCGGUGAAAUGCGUAGAUAUUGGGAAGAACACCGGUGGCGAAAGCGCUCUACUGGGCCAUAACUGACACUGAUGGACGAAAGCUAGGGGAGCGAAUGGGAUUAGAUACCCCC
RNAcentral lists this ribosomal RNA (637 nucleotides) under Jaaginema sp. WUC279. RNAcentral describes it as "bacterial SSU rRNA". It matches the Rfam family "Bacterial small subunit ribosomal RNA", at positions 117 to 789 of the family's 1533-position model. The record is from RNAcentral. Lineage: Bacteria; Bacillati; Cyanobacteriota; Cyanophyceae; Leptolyngbyales; Leptolyngbyaceae.